UGUAUUAGCGGCGGAGGGUGAGUACACGUGGGUAACCUGCCUGUAAGACUGGGAUAACUCCGGGAAACCGGAGCUAAUACCGGAUAGUUCCUUGAACCGCAUGGUUCAAGGAUGAAAGACGGUUUCGGCUGUCACUUACAGAUGGACCCGCGGCGCAUUAGCUAGUUGGUGAGGUAACGGCUCACCAAGGCGACGAUGCGUAGCCGACCUGAGAGGGUGAUCGGCCACACUGGGACUGAGACACGGCCCAGACUCCUACGGGAGGCAGCAGUAGGGAAUCUUCCGCAAUGGACGAAAGUCUGACGGAGCAACGCCGCGUGAGUGAUGAAGGUUUUCGGAUCGUAAAGCUCUGUUGUUAGGGAAGAACAAGUGCAAGAGUAACUGCUUGCACCUUGACGGUACCUAACCAGAAAGCCACGGCUAACUACGUGCCAGCAGCCGCGGUAAUACGUAGGUGGCAAGCGUUGUCCGGAAUUAUUGGGCGUAAAGGGCUCGCAGGCGGUUUCUUAAGUCUGAUGUGAAAGCCCCCGGCUCAACCGGGGAGGGUCAUGG
RNAcentral lists this ribosomal RNA (552 nucleotides) under Bacillus pumilus. Its description in RNAcentral is "bacterial SSU rRNA". It matches the Rfam family "Bacterial small subunit ribosomal RNA", at positions 88 to 628 of the family's 1533-position model. The record is from RNAcentral. Lineage: Bacteria; Bacillati; Bacillota; Bacilli; Caryophanales; Bacillaceae.